GGCGCUGGGGCAUGGCCUGGCGGGCAGGUGGCCUUCCUGCCGUUUCUGCGCGCUGCGGGCGGCGUCCAUUUCGCUUGCAAGCUUCGUUGCGUUCGCUCGCCUUUUUCUGGCUCCCGUUGUCUCGCGUUCCGUCGUUGCUCUGGUGCCCUGGACUGCUGUGAUUGUGUUUUUAUGCCCUGCUAGUGUUGCCUGGGGGUGCUUUUAUGUGUGCACCCUGGAAGAUAGGUCCAGAAGCCUUGCGAUUUCUUAGAUUAAAGCUAAGUGUACUCGUGACCCUACCAGCACUUUUCAAGAUACUUUCGAUGUAUUCAUUGCGGUGAACAACGCGGUUGGGACAGCACACUCACGACGUGGGAAGGUCACAGAAAUGUUGAAAGACAUCAGGUAAGUUACGCUAAAGUGCGUUUCAGAGCUCUUCAGUGACUUGUGUUUACUGCGAAACAGAUUGGGCAUACGCUUCACCCGUGCAACUUCGUCAUGUGCCCACGGCUUUACGGCUGUGCCACUGUAUGUAAAAAAUGCUGAGUGAUUUUAAUAAAGAAUUUGCAGGGAAGUACAAUGUGUCGCACCUUGUUGACUCUUUAACAGAUGUGUGGAAACGUCGUAGCGGAUGAAUGUGAAUUAUGGAUCUCCAAGUGGCGUCGCCCGCGUCAUUUUCAAGAUUUUACCCGUUUUGAAGGUACGUAGUGAAUGUGCGAGG
Molecule: long non-coding RNA, 700 nt
Organism: Ornithodoros turicata
Lineage: Eukaryota; Metazoa; Arthropoda; Arachnida; Ixodida; Argasidae
Exons: 3
Source: RefSeq, a predicted model, not a curated record